CCUACGGGUGGCUGCAGUGGGGAAUAUUGGACAAUGGGCGAAAGCCUGAUCCAGCCAUGCCGCGUGUGUGAAGAAGGCCUUCGGGUUGUAAAGCACUUUCAGUGGGGAAGAAAGCCUUGGGGCUAAUACCCUCGAGGAAGGACAUCACCCACAGAAGAAGCACCGGCUAACUCCGUGCCAGCAGCCGCGGUAAUACGGAGGGUGCGAGCGUUAAUCGGAAUUACUGGGCGUAAAGCGCGCGUAGGCGGUCUGAUAAGCCGGUUGUGAAAGCCCCGGGCUCAACCUGGGAACGGCAUCCGGAACUGUCAGGCUAGAGUGCAGGAGAGGAAGGUAGAAUUCCCGGUGUAGCGGUGAAAUGCGUAGAGAUCGGGAGGAAUACCGGUGGCGAAGGCGGCCUUCUGGACUGACACUGACGCUGAGGUGCGAAAGCGUGGGUAGCAAACAGGAUUAGAUACCUGGUAGUC
RNAcentral lists this ribosomal RNA (464 nucleotides) under Vreelandella stevensii. Its description in RNAcentral is "partial 16S ribosomal RNA". It matches the Rfam family "Bacterial small subunit ribosomal RNA", at positions 338 to 795 of the family's 1533-position model. Lineage: Bacteria; Pseudomonadati; Pseudomonadota; Gammaproteobacteria; Oceanospirillales; Halomonadaceae. The record is from RNAcentral.